UGAAAACUUUGACUUCCAGAAGUUUCUUCAAGAAGUAACAGGCAAAUUUAGUCUGCAGGCCGAACUUGUGACUGAAGGUGUGCUCAGCUUGACUGACACAUCAGAGACCGAGGUUGAUGCCGACACAUUUGAUGAGCUGGUCAAGUCGAGUGAGAAACUUCAAGGUUAGAUAUCACCAGUAUCCAAUAACAGACAUUGCUAUUACUUUGGAUGAAUCAGAUUAAUCUGUAUUACAAGACCCAUCACCAUCUCCAGCAUCAUUG
Centropristis striata (black sea bass) is the source of this 263-nucleotide long non-coding RNA. RefSeq lists it as uncharacterized. The record is from RefSeq and is a predicted model, not a curated record. The transcript has 3 exons. Lineage: Eukaryota; Metazoa; Chordata; Actinopteri; Perciformes; Serranidae.